RNAcentral lists this ribosomal RNA (465 nucleotides) under uncultured bacterium. RNAcentral describes it as "partial 16S ribosomal RNA". It matches the Rfam family "Bacterial small subunit ribosomal RNA", at positions 28 to 507 of the family's 1533-position model. The record is from RNAcentral.
GACGAACGCUGGCGGCGUGCUUAACACAUGCAAGUCGAACGGAAAGGCCCUGAUUGCAGGGUACUCGAGUGGCGAACGGGGGAGUAACACGUGGGUGAUCUGCCCUGCAAUUCGGGAUAAGGCUGGGAAACUGGGUCUAAUACUGGAUAGGAGCCAUUUUUAGUGUGAUGGUUGGAAAGUUUUUUCGGUGUAGGAUGAGCUCGCGGCCUAUCAGCUUGUUGGUGGGGUAAUGGCCUACCAAGGCGGCGACGGGUAGCCGGCCUGAGAGGGUGGACGGCCACAUUGAUACUGAGAUACUGCCCAUACGCCUCCACGAGACAGCAGGUGUGAAUAUUACACAAUGGGCGCAAGCCUGAUGCAGCGACUCCGCUUGGGGGAUGACGGCCUUCGGGUUGUAAACUCCUUUCGCUAGGGACGAAUCUUUUUGUAACGGUACCUAGAUAAGAAGCACCGGCUAACUACGUG